GCCAGACUCCUACGGGAGGCAGCAGUAGGGAAUCUUUCACAAUAGGCGAAAGCCUGAUGGAGCAACGCCGCGUGCAGGAUGAAGGCCCUCGGGUUGUAAACUGCUUUUAUAAGCGAGAAAUAUGAUGGUAACUUAUGAAUAAGGAUCGGCUAACUACGUGCCAGCAGCCGCGGUAAUACGUAGGGGGCAAGCGUUAUCCGGAUUCACUGGGUGUAAAGGGAGCGUAGACGGCGACGCAAGUCUGGAGUGAAAGCCCGGGGCCCAACCCCGGGACUGCUCUGGAAACUGCGUCGCUGGAGUACGGGAGGGGCAGGCGGAAUUCCUGGUGUAGCGGUGAAAUGCGUAGAUAUCAGGAGGAACACCGGCGGCGAAGGCGGCCUGCUGGACCGUGACUGACGUUGAGGCUCGAGAGCGUGGGGAGCAAACAGGAUUAGAUACCCUAGUACC
RNAcentral lists this ribosomal RNA (447 nucleotides) under uncultured bacterium. RNAcentral's name for it is "bacterial SSU rRNA". It matches the Rfam family "Bacterial small subunit ribosomal RNA", at positions 330 to 794 of the family's 1533-position model. The record is from RNAcentral.